Molecule: non-coding RNA, 99 nt
Organism: Paxillus involutus ATCC 200175
Lineage: Eukaryota; Fungi; Basidiomycota; Agaricomycetes; Boletales; Paxillaceae
Source: the annotation of a GenBank genome assembly
GGCCUGGUGGUCUAGUAGUAUGAUUCCUUGUUAGGGUUGCCGAAUUAGUUGAUUUGGUGAUAUUCGAGGAGGUCCCGGGUUCAAUUCCCGGCCAGGCCC